This 71-nucleotide transfer RNA is filed under the name Gonorynchus greyi (beaked salmon). RNAcentral describes it as "tRNA-Tyr". It matches the Rfam family "tRNA". From Rfam's summary of the family: Transfer RNA (tRNA) molecules are approximately 80 nucleotides in length. Their secondary structure includes four short double-helical elements and three loops (D, anti-codon, and T loops). Further hydrogen bonds mediate the characteristic L-shaped molecular structure. tRNAs have two regions of fundamental functional importance: the anti-codon, which is responsible for specific mRNA codon recognition, and the 3' end, to which the tRNAs corresponding amino acid is attached (by aminoacyl-tRNA synthetases). tRNAs cope with the degeneracy of the genetic code in two manners: having more than one tRNA (with a specific anti-codon) for a particular amino acid; and 'wobble' base-pairing, i.e. permitting non-standard base-pairing at the 3rd anti-codon position. The record is from RNAcentral. Lineage: Eukaryota; Metazoa; Chordata; Actinopteri; Gonorynchiformes; Gonorynchidae.
GGUAGAGUGGCUGAGUGCGCAAGCGGUGGGUUGUAGCCCCGAAGACAGAGGUUUGAGUCCUCUCUGUACCA